This 5522-nucleotide long non-coding RNA is filed under the name Podarcis lilfordi (Lilford's wall lizard). The record is from RNAcentral. Lineage: Eukaryota; Metazoa; Chordata; Lepidosauria; Squamata; Lacertidae.
ACGCCGCCGUCGCAGGGGAGAGCAAUGACGACCUUUCAGCGUACGGUCAAAGCCUCCCUUCAGAAACCCCUUUAACAGGGAACCCUGGUAUAGCCGCCGCAAAGAGGAAGAUGGACUAAAGGAUUCUGCCCAAGGCCUGAUACCGCCAAAGUUGUGACGUUUUGCUACGGGAAAGGCGAAACCUGCCAAUGCAGGGAAAUUCCUUUCCGGCCCUUUAACAGCGACCUUAUCGUAGCAGCGCCCGCAUACCUGUGAAGAAAAGUUAACCUGCAAAACCUAUGAAGAAAAGUUAACCUGCAAAGGAAGACAUUAACUGAGGGUGGGUAGGGUGGGAGAAGCUCUGGAGCCAAGUGAGGAUUCCCAGGUAAGAUCCUCCCUCUAUUGUGUGGGCAGGUAAUCCCUCCCCUACCUGGCCUGGUCUCCUUGGCAACGCUUCCCCCAGGUGGGAUUGGACAACUGACUGAGGUAGGCGGGGACCUCCAGGUAUCCCACCUGAGGGAAGGCAAAGCCAAGCCUAUGCUGAUGGGGCCGCUCCAGAUCUAGGGCUGAGCGCGUUUUAAGCGGGGAGCGGUCAUUCUGUGAGAUGCGUGUUGCCUCUGAACCCGGAGGUAGCAUAAGCAGAGAGCCAACCUCUUGUCAGCCUCUGGCCUCCAGCCACUCCAAACUCUGAACCCACCAUAAAAAAAAGGUUCUGCGGUUAAAAACCUACCAGAUGCAGCCUUCUCCCCUUGAUCUCCCAGCCUAAAAAUACUCUUCUCUCUUCACCACAUUUUGCUAUAAAAACACCUUUGCAAUAUCACAGGCCAUUAGAGGGAGGUUGCCUGCAGGACUGGGGCAGGCGAAACAAGCGUCACGCCUAGGGAAAGCCUGCUGCCGCUGAAAAGUGCAAGGCGUUCCGUUAAAAAACCCAAACCGAUUAAAAGGAAAUAAGACCAAAAAAAGAGGACUUGCACCAGGAUAUUCCCCACCCUCAGACGCAAACCAAAGAAAGCAAUAAACAGUUGGCUCCCGUGACUGCGAACAGAAUGGCAAAUAUUCAAUGGUUCGGCUCUGCCACUGAGAUGGGCAGAAAAAUGCAACUAAAAGAGAAUCGCUCGCACUCUCCUGCCCCGCUCACCCCAAACCAGAUGAGAGAAGGACGCUUUAUAUGAAAGGAAGCCACAAUCUUGGCACUAAAUGACAAAGCACACCUCAGAUUCCAGAGGCAACCAUGUGUCUCUUUAAUGACUAACAGAUUUAUUGGCGCAUACGUUACCAUGGGCUAAAGCCCUUCAUUAAUUGUUUGUUUGUUGUUGUAUUAUUUCAUAUACCUCACUUUUCUGUUCACGACAGCUUGGGGGGUGGGAGACUGACAAUGAAAUUGCAACAAUAAAAGAAAAAGCAGAAGCAAAAUACAGCAUAAUACAGUGUCCUGUUGUGCUCCAAAGACCUGCUGGAACAAAUAGGACUUGCUGCCUGAUUGAACACAGUGCGGGGGAUAAUCGGCUCCCUACAGAGGGUGCCACCACCAAGAAGGCUCUGUCUUGUGUGAAAACACCCACCCCCACCCCUAACCUUCAGGCCAUAUCUCAUGAGGUAACCACAGGCACAGCUUCCCCUGGAGUUCACAAAACUUGAGUUGGCUGGUACAGAGGAAGAUGCUUCUUCAAGUGCUUUGUUCCUUCAAGUUGCAUGAAACACCUCCCCAGCUGGUGGAUAUUUGGCACAUACGUAUAUGGCUAGAGAAUGGAGAAAAUGUAAACAGUGGAACUGAAAAGUCAUGAAGUGCAAGAAGCACAGUUAAGGUCCAAGCAUGGGGGGCAUAGGGCCUUAGUACAGGGGCAGCUAACAUCUUCUGGGCGAAUGGCUGCACUGACCCAUGGCUAUCCCACCGAGGGCUGCAUGAUAAAGUGAGAUGGCAGAGGUGAAAAAAUGGAUGUGGCCAAAACAGAACAUUAAUAAAUUUUAUCAAGGCGCUCUCUCUCUCUCUCUCUCUCUCUCUCUCUCUCUCUCUCUCUGGUAAAAAAAAUGAGCUGCUAGCACUCAUAUAUUCAUAUCAUAUUAAAAAUGCCCUGGCUGACAGCACAAAAAGGAUGUGUGAUGGCACUCCACACUAGUGAGUAAGAUCACAAAAAAUGCAAACUGCCUUUUAUUACAUUUCAUUCUAUUCCUAAAUCCCUCAAAACUUGGUCUUUCCAUGAGCUGGUGAAACUCACUUGGUAGCAAAAAGUGAAUGUCAUCAGCUCAGUCCUGUGGAAUUCUGCCGGCACCUUCUGUUUCAACUUUUUAAACGCCUGCUCAAAACUCUUCUAUUCCACCAGGUUUAUGCAAGCGCUUCAAAACACUUAUUUCCACAAAGGUUAACUAAUGUCUGUUUUUAGCUUCUUCUUUUUUUAAUGGUUUUACUGUAUGGUUUUAUGUACUUUUGUUGUAAACCACUUUGAUAUUUUUAAAUGAAAUAGGAGUAUAUAAAUGUUUAUAUAUAUAUAUAUAUAUAAUAAACUGAUUCAAUUUUUAUUUUAACCAUUUUCCUCAAAGUCUCAAAGCAUCGCAGUGGAAGAAACAGCACAGCCAGCAGUUAACAGAAGUGAAGGGAACAGUCUGAUGAUCGGCAGCACUAUUAAUAGAGCAUCCAGAGGCAGCAACAGGAAAACAUCAAUUAAACAUUUGGAGGGUUUUUUAAAAUCAUCAAUUUACUUAAAAGUGACAAAAAUUAACUGAUGCCCAAUGAAGGUAAUUAACCUCAAGAAAAAGUGGAUAGGUCUCCCUCUCUCUCUCUCUCUCUCUCUGUGUGUGUGUGUGUGUGUGUUGCCAUAAAAAAUAUGUAUUUCCAAAGAAAAACCACAAAAUUGUGGCAUUGUUAUAUUGAAACCGGACCUCCCUAGCCAUCGGCUUAACACUGAGGUGCCGUGCAAUGUUUAUGAACAUCUCAAUGUGCUCAGGAGUUUAAAAUAAAACAUGCCAGCACACUAGGCCUAUGCAACAGAGAAAGGAAAAGGCAAUACUACAUAUCUGUUUGGCUCGUGGUUAGACUUGUGUAUUUGAACGUUGGAUUUGCAAUGUAACGACACCAGUAUAUGAAUUACGUGUCUGAGUAAUUGUGUACAUCAAUAUUGUGAAUGAGUAGGCUCAGCAAGUGUGUGAGAGAGCAGAGAAUAUGAGUGUGGUGUGAAAACUGGAAUCAGAAAAAGCUCUACAUUCAAAAAAUUGACUUACAUAGAUCUCUGCUUCUACGACUACUGCUACAUUUAUCAUCUUUACCUCAAAGGUAAUGCACAUGGCUCAUCCCUUCCCCAUUGCACCCCCACAGUAGCCCUGAGGGAAGUCGAGAGGCAGGCCCAAAGUCAAUCGGUAAGUUUCAUGGUGGAGCGGCAUUUGAACACAGGUCUCUCCAGCCUCAGCCCAAUAAAAUAAUCAGUACAUUACACUGGCGAACAACAACAAGAAGAAGAAUUUAGGUUUGUGGCGGCAGUGCAUUUGAACUUAUUCUGCCUGGAGUCCUGUUACUUUUUCCCAGCCGGAAGUAAAAAUCCGAAAACCUGUAGUCUUGUGAGAGAGCAGUAGAAAAUGCUCGCAAGCUAAAAUGUGCUUCUUUGCAAGACCUUCUCCCUGCCAAUAAUACAAUGCCACACACCACAAGAAGCUUGAGGAAAACCCCAGCUACACUUUGCAUGAUACAAUGUAUAGCUUGUGCCAUUAAUUUCUCAUUUUCCUUUGUUAGCUCUGCGAAUGACAUCAUGUUAAGUCCUGAAGCAUGACACUUCUGGCAGGACUCCUGUUUGGCUGCUUGCAUGGAGUUAAAAGUUCUUUUUUAAGCGUUAUCCUCUACGUUUAAUAAGAAUGAUUAAUGGAAGUGACUUUUUAAUGAUUUUGUUUCCUCCUCUUUGGAAUAAGGUGUGCCCUGGGGGGGUGGGGACUUGCCACCACUCUUGCAGCCACAGAUGGGCCAUCGCUGUCACUCGGAGGUUCCUCGGAAGAAAAUCAGAAUACGCUGGCAUGUAAAUCUCACUGAACUCAAGGGACCGUAGCUCAGCUUUGAAAGCUGCCGAUGGAGCCAGGAAUUACCAAUUCAAACAAAGCUCAACUUUUGUUGUUGUUUAGUCAUUUAGUCAUGUCCGACUCUUCGUGACCCCAUGGACCAGAGCACGCCAGGCACUCCUGUCUUCCACUGCCUCCCGCAGUUUGGUCAGACUCAUGCUGGUAGUUUCGAGAACACUGUCCAACCAUCUCGUCCUCUGUCGUCCCCUUCUCCUUGUGCCCUCCAUCUUUCCCAACAUCAGGGUCUUUUCUAGGGAGUCUUCUCUUCUCAUGAGGUGGCCAAAGUAUUGUAGCCUCAGCUUCAGGAUCUGUCCUUCCAGUGAGCACUCAGGGCUGAUUUCCUUCAGAAUGGAAAUAAAACAAAUAGAACGGUUUGAUCUUCUUGCAGUUCAUGGGACUCUCAAGAGUCUCCUCCAGCACCAUAAUUCAAAAGCAUCAAUUCUUCGGCGACCAGCCUUCUUUAUGGUCCAGCUCUCACUUCCAUACAUCACUCCUGGGAAAACCAUAGCUUUAACUAUACGGACCUUUGUUGGCAAGGUGAUGUCUCUGCUUUUUAAGAUGCUUGUCUAGGUUUGUCAUUGCUUUUCUCCCAAGAAGCAGGUGUCUUUUAAUUUUGUGACUGCUGUCACCAUCUGCAGUGAUCAUGGAACCCAAGAAAGUAAAAUCUCUCACUGCCUCCAUUUCUUCCCCUUCUAUUGGCCAGGAGGUGAUGGGACCAGUGGCCAUGACCUUAGUUUUUUUGAUGUUGAGCUUCAGACCAUAUUUUGCACUCUCCUCUUUCACCCUCAUUAAAAGGUUCUUUAAUUCCUCCUCACUUUCUGCCAUCAAGGCUGUGUCAUUGACUACACAAAAGCCUUUGACUGUGUCAACCACAGCAAACUAUGGCAAGUUCUUAAAGAAAUGGGAGUACCUGAUCACCUCAUCUGUCUCCUGAGAAAUCUCUAUGUGGGACAAGAAGCUACAGUUAGAACUGGAUAUGGAAUAACUGAUUGGUUCAAAAUUGGGAAAGGAGUACGACAAGGCUGUAUAUUGUCCCCCUGCUUAUUUAACUUAUAUGCAGAAUUCAUCAUGUGAAAGGCUGGACUGGAUGGAUCCCAAGCCGGAAUUAAGAUUGCCGGAAGAAAUCUCAACAACCUCAGAUAUGCAGAUGACACAACCUUGAUGGCAGAAAAGCUCAUCUGAGACCCACUCUAUACCGAAAUGUCAAGGCUGAGGACUAUACAAAGCUAAGGGGAGAAGCUAAGGUGGGGAGAAAGCUUUUUGGCACUGCGGCCUGUGUUGGCACUCAGCCCUUACGGCUGGAGAAAUGCCAGAGCUUUAAAUCUAUAUAUCAUCCCCUGCACCGUAAAACAAAAACGGCACAGAUUAUCUUUCCAUAAUCCUUCCAUAAAUUAGCUAGAAUUGUGAAGCUUGGGUAAAGAGAAUAAAAGGGAAUCCUUCCUUUACGCUCCUUUCUGGUGGCCUGCUUCUCAGGUGAAUGCUAUUAACAACAUCGUCCGUAUUUU